UAUUAAGUUGGUUCAAAAGUAAUUGUGGUUUUUGUCAUUACUUUCAAUGGCAAAAACUGCAAUGACUUUUUCACCAACCUAAUA
Nomascus leucogenys (northern white-cheeked gibbon) is the source of this 84-nucleotide microRNA precursor. The record is from Ensembl. NCBI's taxonomy places the organism in Eukaryota, Metazoa, Chordata, Mammalia, Primates, Hylobatidae.